GUGUAAGUAUGAAUUAAUUCAGAUAGUGAAACACUGAAUUGACUCAUAAUAUCAGUUAUAAUUUGUUUGGUGGUAUCUACUACUCGAAUAACCAUAGUUUCUAGAGUUAAUACAUGCAACAAACCCGAAUUUUGGAAGGGAUGCAUUCAUUAGAUAAAAAGUUGACGCGGGCUCUGCCUGUUGCUGCAAUGAUUCAUGAUAACUCGACGUAUCGCAUGACUAUCGUGCCAGCGAUGCUCAUUCAAAUUUUUGCCUAUCAACUUUUGGUGGUAGGAUAAUGGCCUACUGUCACAGGGUCGAUUUUUAUGCCCGAG
RNAcentral lists this ribosomal RNA (314 nucleotides) under Nicotiana attenuata. RNAcentral's name for it is "rRNA SSU_rRNA_eukarya". It matches the Rfam family "Eukaryotic small subunit ribosomal RNA", at positions 57 to 388 of the family's 1831-position model. Lineage: Eukaryota; Viridiplantae; Streptophyta; Magnoliopsida; Solanales; Solanaceae. The record is from Rfam by way of RNAcentral.